GACGAACGCUGGCGGCGUGCUUAACACAUGCAAGUCGAACGGAAAGGCCCUGCUUUUGUGGGGUGCUCGAGUGGCGAACGGGUGAGUAACACGUGAGUAACCUGCCCUUGACUUUGGGAUAACUUCAGGAAACUGGGGCUAAUACCGGCUAGGAGCUCCUGCUGCAUGGGGGGGGUUGGAAAGUUUCGGCGGUUGGGGAUGGACUCGCGGCUUAUCAGCUUGUUGGUGGGGUAGUGGCUUACCAAGGCUUUGACGGGUAGCCGGCCUGAGAGGGUGACCGGCCCCAUUGGGACUGAGAGACGGCCCAGACGCCUACGGGAGGCAGCAGUGGGGAAUAUGGCACAAUGGGCGGAAGCCUGAUGCAGCAACGCCGCGUGCGGGAUGACGGCCUUCGGGUUGUAAACCGCUUUCGCCUGUGACGAAGCGUGAGUGACGGUAAUGGGUAAAGAAGCACCGGCUAACUACGUG
RNAcentral lists this ribosomal RNA (468 nucleotides) under uncultured bacterium. Its description in RNAcentral is "partial 16S ribosomal RNA". It matches the Rfam family "Bacterial small subunit ribosomal RNA", at positions 28 to 507 of the family's 1533-position model. The record is from RNAcentral.